AUUGGACAAUGGGCGAAAGCCUGAUCCAGCCAUGCCGCGUGUGUGAAGAAGGUCUUCGGACUUGUAAAGCACUUUAAGUUGGGAGGAAGGGCAGUUACCUAAUACGUGAUUGUUUUGACGUUACCGACAG
This 130-nucleotide ribosomal RNA is filed under the name uncultured bacterium. RNAcentral describes it as "partial 16S ribosomal RNA". It matches the Rfam family "Bacterial small subunit ribosomal RNA", at positions 363 to 484 of the family's 1533-position model. The record is from RNAcentral.